AGAGUUUGAUCCUGGCUCAGGACGAACGCUGGCGGCGUGCUUAACACAUGCAAGUCGAACGAGGGAUGAAUAAAGCUUGCUUUGUUCAUUUCGAGUGGCGGACGGGUGAGUAACGCGUGAGGAACCUGGCUUUUGCAGGGGGAUAGCGUCCCGAAAGAGACGGUAAUACCGCAUAAGACCACGCUACCGCAUGGUAAAGGGGUCAAAGGAGAGAUCCGGCAGAAGAUGGACUCGCGUCCCAUUAGGCAGUUGGCGGGGUAAAAGCCCACCAAACCGACGAUGGGUAGCCGACCUGAGAGGGUGAUCGGCCACAUUGGAACUGAGAGACGGUCCAAACUCCUACGGGAGGCAGCAGUGGGGAAUAUUGGGCAAUGGGCGAAAGCCUGACCCAGCAACGCCGCGUGAGGGGAGAAGGUUUUCGGAUUGUAAACCUCUGUCCCAGGAGACGAGGAGAAGACGGUAUCCUGGGAGGAAGCCCCGGCUAACUACGUGCCAGCAGCCGCGGUAAUACGUAGGGGGCGAGCGUUGUCCGGAAUGAUUGGGCGUAAAGGGCGUGUAGGCGGCCUGUUAAGUCUGGAGUGAAAGUCCAAGUUUCAAGCUUGGAAUUGCUUUGGAUACUGGGAGGCUGGAGUGCAGGAGAGGUUAUCGGAAUUCCCGGUGUAGCGGUGAAAUGCGUAGAGAUCGGGAGGAACACCAGUGGCGAAGGCGGGUAACUGGACUGCAACUGACGCUGAGGCGCGAAAGUGUGGGGAGCAAACAGGAUUAGAUACCCUGGUAGUCCACACUGUAAACGAUGAAUGCAAGGUGUUGGAGGUAUCGACCCCUUCAGUGCCGGAGUCAACACAAUAAGCAUUCCGCCUGGGGAGUACGGCCGCAAGGUUGAAACUCAAAGGAAUUGACGGGGGCCCGCACAAGCAGCGGAGCAUGUGGUUUAAUUCGACGCAACGCGAAGAACCUUACCAGGUCUUGACAUCCAUUACAAGGUGCAGAGAUGCGCUGUGAGCUUGCUCGAGAAUGAGACAGGUGGUGCAUGGUUGUCGUCAGCUCGUGUCGUGAGAUGUUGGGUUAAGUCCCGCAACGAGCGCAACCCUUGUUUGCAGUUACUAACACGUAGUGGUGAGGACUCUGCAGAGACUGCCGGGGACAACUCGGAGGAAGGUGGGGACGACGUCAAAUCAUCAUGCCCCUUAUGACCUGGGCUACACACGUGCUACGAUGGCCGUAACAAAGAGGAGCGAGCCCGAGAGGGUAAGCGGAUCUCAAAAAAGCGGUCUCAGUUCGGAUUGUGGGCUGCAACCCGCCCACAUGAAGUCGGAGUUGCUAGUAAUCGCGGAUCAGCAUGCCGCGGUGAAUACGUUCCCGGGCCUUGUACACACCGCCCGUCACACCAUGGGAGUUGAUAGCACCCAAAAUAUGUGAGGUAACCGCAAGGAGCCAGCAUCCUAAGGUGAGAUCAAUGACUGGGGUGAAGUCGUAACAAGGUA
This 1484-nucleotide ribosomal RNA is filed under the name uncultured bacterium. Its description in RNAcentral is "16S ribosomal RNA". It matches the Rfam family "Bacterial small subunit ribosomal RNA". The record is from RNAcentral.